AAGGAGUCGUCUUCGUAUGCGAGUGAACGGGUGUAAAAAACCUAAGAGUAAUGAAAGAGAACGAAGGUGAGAGAUUCGGCGCAUCACCGACCGAUCCUGAUGUUCUCGGAUGGAUUUGAGUAAGAGCAUACGGGUCCGGACCCGAAAGAAGGUGAACUAUGCCUGUAUAGGGUGAAGCCAGAGGAAACUCUGGUGGAGGCUCGCAGCGGUUCUGACGUGCAAAUCGAUCGUCAAAUAUGGGCAUGGGGGCGAAAGACUAAUCGAACCUUCUAGUAGCUGGUUUCCUC
RNAcentral lists this unclassified non-coding RNA (287 nucleotides) under uncultured fungus. RNAcentral describes it as "partial contains 5.8S rRNA, ITS2 and 28S rRNA". It matches the Rfam family "Eukaryotic large subunit ribosomal RNA", at positions 668 to 961 of the family's 3401-position model. The record is from RNAcentral. Lineage: Eukaryota; Fungi.